Long non-coding RNA from Eleginops maclovinus (Patagonian blennie), 441 nucleotides. RefSeq lists it as uncharacterized. The record is from RefSeq and is a predicted model, not a curated record. The transcript has 2 exons. NCBI's taxonomy places the organism in Eukaryota, Metazoa, Chordata, Actinopteri, Perciformes, Eleginopidae.
UAAAAACUUUGAGGUGGUCAACAAAAAAAGAACUGCAGUCUGUAAAACAUGCAGGACGAAGAUAACAGACGGAGACGCGACAACUUCCAACUUCGUUCGACAUUUGAAGUUGCACAAAGAACGAUUUGAAGAAUACCAGAUGAGUAGAAGCAUCAUAGAUGAACCACAACAGCCUUCAAUCUCACAAUUCUUGGACAGUCGUGAAGCGCAUUACAGCAUGAGUCAUCCACAGCAGAAGGUUAUCAUUAACACAAUACUGUCCGACCUGAUUAUUGAUUGCAGCCUUCCCCUGUCUAUUGUGGAACACAAGAGUUUUCGGCACUUUCUGAAAGUAAUUGACAAUAAGUACAGCCCAGUGUGUCGCAGAACGUUGACAUCAAAAAGAGAGAGCCUCGCUGGGGAGAGACGUUCAAGAUUAAAAACUCAAUUGAGCAACACUGA